Molecule: unclassified non-coding RNA, 351 nt
Filed under: soil metagenome
Description: partial contains 5.8S ribosomal RNA, internal transcribed spacer 2, and large subunit ribosomal RNA
Rfam family: 5.8S ribosomal RNA (bases 2-119)
Source: RNAcentral
GUGAAGAACGUAGCGAAAUGCGAUAAGUAAUGUGAAUUGCAGAAUUCAGUGAAUCAUCGAAUCUUUGAACGCACAUUGCGCCCGCCAGUAUUCUGGCGGGCAUGCCUGUUCGAGCGUCAUUACAACCCUCAGGCCCCCGGGCCUGGCGUUGGGGAUCGGCGGAGCCCCCCGUGGGCACACGCCGUCCCCCAAAUACAGUGGCGGUCCCGCCGCAGCUUCCAUCGCGUAGUAGCUAACACCUCGCGACUGGAGAGCGGCGCGGCCACGCCGUAAAACCCCCAACUCUUCUGAAGUUGACCUCGAAUCAGGUAGGAAUACCCGCUGAACUUAAGCAUAUCAAUAAGCGGAGGA